This 459-nucleotide ribosomal RNA is filed under the name Paramunida tenera. Its description in RNAcentral is "partial 16S ribosomal RNA". The stretch from base 336 to 459 matches the Rfam family "Bacterial large subunit ribosomal RNA", at positions 2473 to 2597 of the family's 2925-position model. Lineage: Eukaryota; Metazoa; Arthropoda; Malacostraca; Decapoda; Munididae. The record is from RNAcentral.
CUGUGCAAAGGUAGCAUAAUCAUUAGUUUUUUAAUUGAAGGCUUGUAUGAAUGGUCUGACAAAGUAAAAGCUGUCUUUAAUUUUAUUUUUGAAAUUAACUUUUAAGUGAAAAGGCUUAAAUAAAUUUAAGGGACGAUAAGACCCUAUAAAUCUUUAUAUUAAUUUGUUAUUUUAAAAAAUUAAUAGAUUUUGUUUUAAAAAAUAAAUAAACAAAUAAUAUUUUAUUGGGGUGAUGAGAAUAUAUAAAAAACUGUUCUUAAAAUAAACAAAGUUAUUUGUUAAGAAAAAAAAAUAAUAGAUCCUUUAUUAAGAUAAAAAGUUUAAGUUACUUUAGGGAUAACAGCGUUAUUUUUUUUGAGAGUUCCUAUCGAAAAAAAAGUUUGCGACCUCGAUGUUGAAUUAAAAUUUCUCUGCGGUGUAGAAGUUGUAGAAGAAAGUCUGUUCGACUUUUGAAAUUUU